This 497-nucleotide ribosomal RNA is filed under the name Sphingomonas sp. RNAcentral's name for it is "bacterial SSU rRNA". It matches the Rfam family "Bacterial small subunit ribosomal RNA", at positions 839 to 1339 of the family's 1533-position model. The record is from RNAcentral. Lineage: Bacteria; Pseudomonadati; Pseudomonadota; Alphaproteobacteria; Sphingomonadales; Sphingomonadaceae.
UUGGGUGGCGCAGCUAACGCAUUAAGUUAUCCGCCUGGGGAGUACGGCCGCAAGGUUAAAACUCAAAGGAAUUGACGGGGGCCUGCACAAGCGUGGAGCAUGUGGUUUAAUUCGAAGCAACGCGCAGAACCUUACCAGCGUUUGACAUGGUAGGACGACUUCCAGAGAUGGAUUUCUUCCCUUCGGGGACCUACACACAGGUGCUGCAUGGCUGUCGUCAGCUCGUGUCGUGAGAUGUUGGGUUAAGUCCCGCAACGAGCGCAACCCUCGACUUUAGUUACCAUCAUUAAGUUGGGUACUUUAAAGUAACCGCCGGUGAUAAGCCGGAGGAAGGUGGGGAUGACGUCAAGUCCUCAUGGCCCUUACGCGCUGGGCUACACACGUGCUACAAUGGCAAGUACAGUGGGCAGCAAUCCCGCGAGGGUGAGCUAAUCUCCAAAACUUGUUCGUUCGGAUUGUUCUCUGCAACUCGAGAGCAUGAAGGCGGAAUCGCUAGU